UGCAAAGAGAACCAGAGACAAAUGGA
Molecule: non-coding RNA, 26 nt
Filed under: Rattus norvegicus (Norway rat)
Lineage: Eukaryota; Metazoa; Chordata; Mammalia; Rodentia; Muridae
Source: RNAcentral